ACCGGCUGGGCCAUUACCAUCUAGAAGCUGGUGGGGCUCUGGCAAUUAGAAAGACCGUUAGCCCUAGUUAAUAUGGUCAAGUGAUGUCAAUUGUUUAGUUUUUAGGUGCAAGGAACAGAACCAACACUGCUGGACUUAAGGAGCAAAGGAAUUUAUCCAAAGGAUAUUGCAUGGCUUGCAGAGAACCUGAGACACCCAGAGCCAGGCACUGAGGCUCUGCAGCCAGGAACAAUUGCCCACGAGAAGGAUUUAGAAACACUUCCGUUGCUAUGGGUGCUGGACCCCACAGGUUCCACCACUGACAACGCAUGACGAACAAUGCGGCUACAGUCACUGCCGUAUUCUGCUCUGCACUGCACCUGCUUCUUCCAAACCCCUGAUUUCUUAUCAAUCAAGGUUAGGGAAGAUGUCCCUGACUGGCAUGUGCCUUCAGUUGUGCUCAAGGAGCUGGAAAAGCAAGAUCUGCUCGCCUUAGGAGUAUCUUCUCUAUGCUGCACUGCCCUUUCCUAAACUGAGCCAGGCCCUGGUUUCUGGGUGUGAUAAAGAUGCUGAAGUGCAAAAUCUACCUUCAAGAUGAAAGCCAGCUGCCUGAUCCUGGUUUUGAGUGCCAAAAAUUCGAAAUUACCCAGUCUUUCUCUCGGCUUUCCUCCCAUAACAGAUGUUCAUCUUCUCCAAUCAGACAGAUGCCUGGAGCCAGCUAAAGUAGAGGUUGUAUCCUUGGGAAAGCAAAGGAGAAGCACAUUAAAAUUUAAAAAAACGAUUACCCAGUUGCAAUAAGUAAAAGUAGAGUAAGUGUU
This is a non-coding RNA of Macaca mulatta (Rhesus monkey), 797 nucleotides long. NCBI's taxonomy places the organism in Eukaryota, Metazoa, Chordata, Mammalia, Primates, Cercopithecidae. The record is from RefSeq and is a predicted model, not a curated record.